RNAcentral lists this ribosomal RNA (371 nucleotides) under uncultured bacterium. Its description in RNAcentral is "bacterial SSU rRNA". It matches the Rfam family "Bacterial small subunit ribosomal RNA", at positions 29 to 426 of the family's 1533-position model. The record is from RNAcentral.
AACGAACGCUGGCGGCAGGUUUAACACAUGCAAGUCGAACGCGUGUAGCAAUACACGAGUGGCGCACGGGUGAGUAACGCGUGGAUAUCUGCCUUUUGGUUCGGAAUAACCCCGGGAAACUGGGGCUAAUACCGGAUGGUUCCUUCGGGAUAAAGAUUUAUCGCCAAAAGAUGAGUCCGCGUACGAUUAGCUAGUUGGUGAGGUAAUGGCUCACCAAGGCGACGAUCGUUAGCUGGUCUGAGAGGACGAUCAGCCACACUGGGACUGAGACACGGCCCAGACUCCUACGGGAGGCAGCAGUGGGGAAUAUUGGACAAUGGGGGCAACCCUGAUCCAGCCAUGCCGCGUGAGUGAUGAAGGCCUUCGGUUGU